Molecule: non-coding RNA, 3517 nt
Organism: Monodelphis domestica (gray short-tailed opossum)
Lineage: Eukaryota; Metazoa; Chordata; Mammalia; Didelphimorphia; Didelphidae
Source: RefSeq, a predicted model, not a curated record
UUAUUUGUUUGACAAGAGUUUCGUAUUUGUGUUCAUAUAGUUCCUGGAUCUGUUUGAUAGGUAGAUCCUCAGAUAUUUUAUAUUGUCUACAGUUAAAUGGAAUUCUUCCAUCUCUUACCGUUGGACUUGAUUAGUGGUAUACAGAAGCAUCCUUCAGCAGUUAUUAGCUGUGUGACCCUGGACAAAUCACUUCAACUUGUUUACCUUAGUUUCCUCAAGUGUAAAAUGAGCUGGAGAGAGAAAUAAAAACCACUCUCGUAUCCUUGCCAAGAAAACCCCAAAUGAGAUCACAAAGAGUUGGGCAUGACUUAAAAUGACUGAACAAAUAUGUGUUAUUCAACACAUAUAAGCCAAGGAGAGAGUGUUAUGGACUGCAAGGUCACAGGAAUGGUGAGUGGAGUUGGAGGGCACUUGGUUUAAGCCCUCACCUUCCACCUUGGAACCCAAAGGCAGAAGAGUAGUAAGGGCUAGGCAAUAGGGGUUAAGUGACUUGCCCAGGGUCACACUGCUAGGAAAUGUCUGAGACCACAUUUGAACCCAGGAUCUCCUAUCACUAGCUUUGGCUCUCAAUCUACUGAGGCACCCAGCUGCCCCUGGCAAUUGAUUGCUACAUUCUUCUAAGAAUGGCAAUGUUGAUUUGGUUACUGUUCUUGUAGUUAGACUUGGGAAGUUGGGUGAAGGGAAGGGACCCCUGCAGCACCCCGGAGGAGGGCUAUGAAUUGGGCUAGUGAUGGAGAACUCUUUCUUUAUUAGGAACUGGAGGCUCUAAGGCUGGUGCAGGGGAUCAAGGUAGAGAGGGUGGUGAGGGUUAGAAAUGAAGAUGAGAGGAGAGCAGCAGGUAUGUUGUCUGGAGAAAGACGGCCAAUCCCAUUGAGACCCAGAGAUAUGAGAAGUGACUUGCCCAAGGUGAACUAAAUAGCAGAGGUGGGUUUUGAACCCAAGUCAUCUCGAUUCCAAAUCCAAGGUUCUUUCCAUUAUACUAGGCUGCUUCCAUCUUGGAUGCUUCCCUCUCCCGGUCUCUUCUCCUAGUUGUCCUUUCCCAGGACACACCUCAGGAUGCUUUGCAUUCUUUCUAAUCUCUUCCUGUAUCAAUGCCUUUUUUCCUGAGCUGGAUCCUUUGCCCAUAGGAGUUUAUGGGGAAGGGAAUGUUCCAUCUCCUUCUUUGGUAUUUCCUCCAGUGUGGGGCCCAUAAUAAGGAGGCACUUAAUAUCCUUGGAGAAAUGUUACUGAGAUGCUGCCAGGCAGUGUGUGAGUCAGAAAGCCUCAGGUUCAAAUUCUGGCUACUUUUUGGGUGGCUUUGGCCAAGGCCUUGCUUCUCUUACACCUUCCACUUUCCUCAUCUGUGAAAUGAGGGGAUUGAACUGGAUUCAUUCCUUCAUUCACAAUCACAUGGAUUAAACUCUACGCUGGGUGCUGCCCUUGAGGGGCUUGCAUUCUCCCAGGGUAACACAUGUUCACAAACAAGGAAUACAAAUGAGUGAGAAGGGAGAAAAUAGCAACAACGGAGGGGGUCACAAGAGGCUUCCUGUAGGAGGUGGCACUAAUGAAUCUUGAAAAUGGAUAAGAUGAGGAGGCUAAAGAAAAAAUAUGUGGGAAGAGAAUGCACUGAAAGCAUAGAGAUGGUACAGGCAAAGGCACAGAGGUGGUACAUGGGAUGCCAAAUACAGGGAGUAGCAAGAAGGCUAUUUUAACUGGAUCAUGAAGCUUAGGAAGGGGAGUAAUAUAAAAUAAUCUAGAAAUGUAAACUAGAACAAGACUGGAUAGAAAUUAAUUAUUUUUUCCUCCAGGCAGUUGGGAGCCACUGAAGAUUAUUGAGCAGAGGAGACAUGUCAGGGUGUGGUUUAGAGAAAUGGAUGGAUUGGAUUGGCGAAGAUGCUGGAGGCAGAGAACAAUUUAGGAGAGAUGUGGUGGAGAAGUGAUAAAGACUUGUAUGUAAGGGUGGAGGAUGAGGAAGGAGGGAGAGGUCAGGAUGACUCUGAAGUUGUGAACUUGGGUGAUUGGAACAAUGCUCGUGACCUCAAAAGAAACAUGGAAGAGCGGAAGGGGGCAAGGUGGAAAAGCUGUUUGACAGAUACAGGACAUCUGAUUAGAAAUAUCCAGUAGGCAAUUGGAGAUGUAGGACCGGGGCUCAAGAGAGAGAUGAAGGCUGGAUGUGUAGAUCCAACACAUUUAAAUAUCCAUCAUUGAGACACUUCUGAUUGUCCUCCCUCCCUCCCUCCUCCCUUCUUCUCUUCCUCUUUCCCUUCUCCCUCUCCCUUCCCCUGCCCCUUCCUUCUAUUCUCUUUCCUUCUUUUCCUUUCCCUUUCCUUCCCUUUCUCUGCCAUUCCCUCCUUUCCCUUCCCUUCCUUUUCCUUCUCUUCCCCUAUUUCCUCUUGAACAGAGGUGGGUCUUGUUUAGGAAAACUGAUCUGGAAGCGUCACGUGUGGUCAAAUUUACUGUGGCCAGUGAAGAGCUUGGAGGCCAUGUGGAGAGCGCCUGGCUGUGGAUGCUGCUGCUGUUUCGUGGAGGUCCUGAGUGGGGCCUGUCUGCUCUUGCUGGUGACUGUCCUUAUCACCCUCCUCAGAUACUUCCUAGAAUUUCCCGUCAUCAUGGAAGGAUUUGGCAUUCUCCAAAGUGCCAACAGCACCUCUGUCCCUGGGGAGUCGUGAGCCACGGUGACUCCAGGCAGGUCUGGACUCAUCCACCAGCAGCCCCUGAGAACUCCGGAGAAGACCCUCAGCUAAAGCCACAACCACAGUAGAGCCAGAUACCCUUGACAGAGGCCCCAGAGCAUUUGGCGAGCCAGCCUUUAGCAACUCUGAGCUCUAUCUGAUUCUCUAGGCCCUUGACCUCCGGCCAUUCCUAAGCGACUUAGAGAAAAAUACUGGGCUAGGAGUUUGAGGACCUGGCAUAGUGGCAAGGGUGCAGGCCCAGAUGCGACCCUUGACUUUGCUAUUCACCAUGUGACCUGGGUAAAAUCACUUCUUCUCCUUGAGCCUCAGUUUCCCACUCUGUCAAAUAAGGACCUUAGUUGGCCUCUAAGGUUCCUAUAAGCUCUGAUUUUCUGUUACCAGGUCCAUGGCAUGAGGGCUAGCCUAAGCAGGCCUGAGGGCCUUUCUGAGGGACCAGGCAGAUAGGCAACAAACGUUUAUUUUUGUAGGCAGACAAAAAUACUGGGGACUGUGCUAAGUGCUGGCUCUGGCUUUUAGGACUAAAGUUCUACCUAUCCUACCAACUCAGCUUGGAUUCUAAUGAUAAAAGGAACCCAGAGCCCUUAGACUAGGGCCAAUGAUGCCCUAGAGAUUCCAGGGACAAGGUAACUAUCAAGAGAAGGGUGGUGGUCAUUGGCCAAGAGUCUUGGCCUUGUGUUGGCUCCAGUGCCAAGUAGCCCCUUGUGCUUUCCAUUAGGGAACCCUAAUGUCCUCCUGGUCCUGAGGUUGGGGAAAUGAGGGGGAGGGGAAGCUGGGCUCCUCAGGGGACUGACAUGCCCAUGACCCGACUUCUUCCUUACAAGCCCUGGUCACGGCCUGGUAACCUC